AUUGAACGCUGGCGGCAGGCCUAACACAUGCAAGUCGAGCGGCAGCGGAAAGUAGCUUGCUACUUUGCCGGCGAGCGGCGGACGGGUGAGUAAUGUCUGGGAAACUGCCUGAUGGAGGGGGAUAACUACUGGAAACGGUAGCUAAUACCGCAUGACCUCGAAAGAGCAAAGUGGGGGAUCUUCGGACCUCACGCCAUCGGAUGUGCCCAGAUGGGAUUAGCUAGUAGGUGAGGUAAUGGCUCACCUAGGCGACGAUCCCUAGCUGGUCUGAGAGGAUGACCAGCCACACUGGAACUGGGACACGGUCCAGACUCCUACGGGAGGCAGCAGUGGGGAAUAUUGCACAAUGGGCGCAAGCCUGAUGCAGCCAUGCCGCGUGUGUGAAGAAGGCCUUAGGGUUGUAAAGCACUUUCAGCGAGGAGGAAGGCAUCAUACUUAAUACGUGUGGUGAUUGACGUUACUCGCAGAAGAAGCACCGGCUAACUCCGUGCCAGCAGCCGCGGUAAUACGGAGGGUGCAAGCGUUAAUCGGAAUUACUGGGCGUAAAGCGCACGCAGGCGGUUUGUUAAGUCAGAUGUGAAAUCCCCGCGCUUAACGUGGGAACUGCAUUUGAAACUGGCAAGCUAGAGUCUUGUAGAGGGGGGUAGAAUUCCAGGUGUAGCGGUGAAAUGCGUAGAGAUCUGGAGGAAUACCGGUGGCGAAGGCGGCCCCCUGGACAAAGACUGACGCUCAGGUGCGAAAGCGUGGGGAGCAAACAGG
Molecule: ribosomal RNA, 759 nt
Filed under: uncultured Enterobacteriaceae bacterium
Lineage: Bacteria; Pseudomonadati; Pseudomonadota; Gammaproteobacteria; Enterobacterales; Enterobacteriaceae
Description: bacterial SSU rRNA
Rfam family: Bacterial small subunit ribosomal RNA
Source: RNAcentral